Mandrillus leucophaeus (drill) is the source of this 119-nucleotide small nucleolar RNA. The record is from Ensembl. NCBI's taxonomy places the organism in Eukaryota, Metazoa, Chordata, Mammalia, Primates, Cercopithecidae.
UUCCUCUGCCUAAGGUUAACACAGUGCCUUAAGAGGCUAACACAGAAGGGCAAAGUAAGUCUCCAUAAAACCCAAAGACUCUAUGAACCCCUCUCUGGAUCCUGUCUGGAGUCACAGCU